RNAcentral lists this ribosomal RNA (252 nucleotides) under uncultured bacterium. Its description in RNAcentral is "partial 16S ribosomal RNA". It matches the Rfam family "Bacterial small subunit ribosomal RNA", at positions 525 to 776 of the family's 1533-position model. The record is from RNAcentral.
ACGAAGGGGGCUAGCGUUGUUCGGAAUUACUGGGCGUAAAGCGCACGUAGGCGGAUUUUUAAGUCAGGUGUGAAAUCCCGGGGCUCAACCUCGGAACUGCAUUUGAAACUGGAAGUCUUGAGACCAGGAGAGGUUAGCGGAAUACCGAGUGUAGAGGUGAAAUUCGUAGAUAUUCGGUGGAACACCAGUGGCGAAGGCGGCUAACUGGACUGGUACUGACGCUGAGGUGCGAAAGUGUGGGGAGCAAACAGG